Molecule: ribosomal RNA, 393 nt
Filed under: uncultured bacterium
Lineage: Bacteria
Description: partial 16S ribosomal RNA
Rfam family: Bacterial small subunit ribosomal RNA
Source: RNAcentral
AUACGGAGGACGCGAGCGUUAUCCGGAUUCAUUGGGUUUAAAGGGUGCGCAGGCGGCCGUGCAAGUCAGCGGUGAAAGCCCGGGGCCCAACCCCGGAAGUGCCGUUGAUACUGCAUGGCUUGAAUGCGGUCGAGGCGGGCGGAACGUGGCGUGUAGCGGGGGAAUGCGUAGAUAUGCCACAGAACGCCGAUAGCGGAGGCAGCUCGCCAGGCCUGCAUUGACGCUCGGGCACGAAAGCGUGGGGAUCGAACAGGAUUAGAUACCCUGGUAGUCCACGCCGUAAACGAUGGGCGCUCGUCGUCGGCGGCAGACAGUCGGCGGCCAAGCGAAAGCGAUAAGCGCCCCACCUGGGGAGUACGGUCGCAAGGCUGAAACUCAAAUGAAUUGACGGGG